This 133-nucleotide ribosomal RNA is filed under the name uncultured bacterium. RNAcentral describes it as "partial 16S ribosomal RNA". The record is from RNAcentral.
GGAUAGUCAAGAGAAGAACCUAUUCGCCUCUUCCGUUUUCUUAUCCCCUGACAGAGCUUUACGUUCCAAAAAACUUCAUCGCUCACGUGGUAUUGCUGGGUCACCCUUGCGGGCAUUAGCCCAAAAUUCCCGA